CUAAGAAUCUUGCGCAAUGGGCGAAAGCCUGACGCAGCAAUUCCGCGUGGAGGAUGAAGGCUCUAGGGUCGUAAACUCCUUUUGCGAGGGAAGAAGAUCUGACGGUACCUCGCGAAUAAGACACGGCUAACUACGUGCCAGCAGCCGCGGUAAUACGUAGGUGUCGAGCGUUGUCCGGAUUUAUUGGGCGUAAAGAGCCCGCAGGCGGCUUGUCUAGUCCGAGGUGAAAUCUCCCGGCUCAACUGGGAGGGUGCCUCGGAAACUGGCAGGCUUGAGGCAGGGAGAGGGAUGUGGAAUUCCAGGUGUAGUGGUGAAAUGCGUAGAGAUCGGGAGGAACACCAGUGGCGAAGGCGGCCUCCGAGCCUGAACCUGACGCUGAAGCGCGAGAGCGUGGGGA
Molecule: ribosomal RNA, 397 nt
Filed under: uncultured bacterium
Lineage: Bacteria
Description: bacterial SSU rRNA
Rfam family: Bacterial small subunit ribosomal RNA
Source: RNAcentral